UACGUAGGGGGCAAGCGUUGUCCGGAAUUAUUGGGCGUAAAGAGCAUGUAGGCGGCCAGAUAAGUCCGCUGUGAAAUCUCGAGGCUCAACUUCGAGCUGUCGGUGGAAACUAUCUGGCUAGAGUCCGGAAGAGGAGAAUGGAAUUCCUGGUGUAGCGGUGAAAUGCGCAGAUAUCAGGAAGAACACCCGUGGCGAAGGCGGUUCUCUGGGACGGUACUGACGCUGAGACGCGAAAGCGUGGGGAGCGAACAGG
RNAcentral lists this ribosomal RNA (253 nucleotides) under uncultured bacterium. RNAcentral describes it as "partial 16S ribosomal RNA". It matches the Rfam family "Bacterial small subunit ribosomal RNA", at positions 524 to 776 of the family's 1533-position model. The record is from RNAcentral.